UGUCUCAACCCAUUAGACAGGCGGCUUGUC
This 30-nucleotide non-coding RNA is filed under the name Homo sapiens (human). The record is from RNAcentral. Lineage: Eukaryota; Metazoa; Chordata; Mammalia; Primates; Hominidae.